Molecule: long non-coding RNA, 1619 nt
Organism: Phacochoerus africanus (Common warthog)
Lineage: Eukaryota; Metazoa; Chordata; Mammalia; Artiodactyla; Suidae
Exons: 3
Source: RefSeq, a predicted model, not a curated record
CUUUAGCCGCAAGACCGCCAAGAGCUUGCGACGCAUGUUCCUCCCGGGCUUGAAGCCCUGGUUGAAGCUCCCAAGGGAGAAGUUCUCGUCCGUGAGACGGACCUGCUGUCUCCUUAAACGUUCUCUGAGAUCAACCUUAACGACAGAACAAGAGUUCUUCCUGGCGACACGACAUCCCUGUUUGCGGUGCUGUGUUGCCCACAAGCGCCUGAAGACAGACAGUGCCUCUCGGCCUCGCCUCGGGGUGAGUUUCUGGAAGUGGAACUGCUGGGACACGCAGGACUGCUGAAGAAGGCAGGGCAGGUUUCUGGUUCCAAGAGCAGCUGUCGGGGGCGCCUCCGCCCGGCCACCCUGACCGCGCUCCCCACGGCCGGCGGGCAGAGGCUCCUGCGCUCAGGCCUGCGCCCGCGACCGUCAGCCUGUCACAGUCUCUGGCUUGCUCAGGACCGCGUCCGACUUGUGCAGAAGCUCCGUGCAUGGAGCGGGGUCUGGAGCCGGGCUGGAUCCUGCUGCCCGUGGGCCCCUGCCCCUGCCUUAGUGCUCCGUCUGCCCCGGGAUGAGCUGGAGCCGGGCUGGAUCCUGCUGCCGUGGGCCCCCCGCCCCGUCUGCCCUGGGAUGAGCUUUGAGACCAAUGCCAGGACGACAGUGGGUGGCACCAGCGGUGCCCACCGGGACGGGGACCGGCUCUCCCGCGUCAGGACCAAGGCCUCCUUUCUGGCCGACUGCCCGCGACACGCGACCCGCCAGCACGACCACUUCUCUGAGUCCUUUUGUUCGUUUCCGUCGUCACAUUGGUUUCCGCGUUGAAUGCCUUUCCCACCGGGCGUUUCUCCCGCUUGCGCUCUGAGGCUCUUCUUUCCGGCUUCUCUGUCUUCGCGGCCUCGCAGGUGCUUGGCCGUGUGCUCGAGAAGCCCUCGCGGGGUUCUGAGGGUCACCCCCAACUCCACGGCUGAACUUGUAGCUUCUGCGAACAGGCAUCUGCCAAAGCGGUGGCCCUGGAGCCUGGAAGGUUCAGGCAUCGGCACCACGGCCGACUCCCAACGCCCACUUGUUCUGGGCUACGGCCGGCGCUACGGCCCUUCUCGGCUCCACCCGUGGCUCGGUGACGCCCACUGAGGCUGUGCUGGGCUGGAACGGGCGCCUGCGCCCAAUGGUCACAGCAACAGGCGGGCGGGCAGUUCACGACGGACUGGAGUGGAGUGGUUGGUGCAGGGACAUGCGAGGGGUGGUGUGGGCACUGCACACGGAGAGCCUGCGGCCCCCACCCCGGGAGCAGACCCAGCCAGCCCCGAGGGUUCCAGCCUGAGCAGCAGGGUCACAGCCCAGGCUGGGGACACGCGAUGUCCACACGGCCUGGACACCGGCAUCUUGUACCCAUCAGCAGACAGAUUCCUGCACCCACGCCUGUCUCAGGUCCCUCUGUAUCUGGGCCAAGUCUGAGCCGGGCUGCGCUCUCAGGCUGGGGGAGGUGGGGACAGGCUGUCAGGGGCUGAACUGGGCCCCCAAGCCCACAUGCUGAAGCACUGACCCUCGUGGCCGCGUGGGCACAAGGCCUUUAAGAUGGUGAUUAAGUGAAAUAAAGUCAUAAGGGUGGGGCCCCCAUGCAACGAGACGAGAGC